RNAcentral lists this ribosomal RNA (422 nucleotides) under uncultured bacterium. RNAcentral describes it as "bacterial SSU rRNA". It matches the Rfam family "Bacterial small subunit ribosomal RNA", at positions 355 to 774 of the family's 1533-position model. The record is from RNAcentral.
UGAGGAAUAUUGGACAAUGGAUGGAAAUCUGAUCCAGCCAUGCCGCGUGCAGGAAGACGGCCCUAUGGGUUGUAAACUGCUUUUGUAUGGGAGCAAUAAGGACUACGUGUAGUUUGAUGAGAGUACCAUACGAAUAAGCAUCGGCUAACUCCGUGCCAGCAGCCGCGGUAAUACGGAGGAUGCGAGCGUUAUCCGGAUUUAUUGGGUUUAAAGGGUGCGUAGGCGGCGAUAUAAGUCAGUGGUGAAAUAUUUCGGCUUAACCGAGAGACUGCCAUUGAUACUGUGUUGCUAGAAUAUGGUUGCUGUGAGUGGAAUGUGUGGUGUAGCGGUGAAAUGCUUAGAUAUCACACAGAAUAUCGAUUGCGAAGGCAGCUCACAAAGCCAUUAUUGACGCUGAGGCACGAAAGUGUGGGGAUCAACCA